This 359-nucleotide ribosomal RNA is filed under the name Cephalophus dorsalis (bay duiker). RNAcentral's name for it is "partial 12S small subunit ribosomal RNA". The stretch from base 45 to 359 matches the Rfam family "Bacterial small subunit ribosomal RNA", at positions 875 to 1353 of the family's 1533-position model. The record is from RNAcentral. Lineage: Eukaryota; Metazoa; Chordata; Mammalia; Artiodactyla; Bovidae.
UUAGCCCUAAACACAAAUAAUUAUAAAAACAAAAUUAUUCGCCAGAGUACUACCGGCAACAGCCUAAAACUCAAAGGACUUGGCGGUGCUUUAUACCCUUCUAGAGGAGCCUGUUCUAUAAUCGAUAAACCCCGAUAAACCUCACCAAUUCUUGCUAAUUCAGUCUAUAUACCGCCAUCUUCAGCAAACCCUAAAAAGGAAUAAAAGUAAGCAUAAUCACAACACAUAAAAACGUUAGGUCAAGGUGUAACCUAUGAAAUGGGAAGAAAUGGGCUACAUUUUCUACCACAAGAAAAUCACACGAAAGUUAUUAUGAAACUAAUAACCAAAGGAGGAUUUAGUAGUAAACUAAGAAUAGA